Long non-coding RNA from Mastomys coucha (southern multimammate mouse), 1460 nucleotides. RefSeq lists it as uncharacterized. NCBI's taxonomy places the organism in Eukaryota, Metazoa, Chordata, Mammalia, Rodentia, Muridae. The record is from RefSeq and is a predicted model, not a curated record. The transcript is spliced from 2 exons.
AGGAUUGAACUCACAAAGAGCAGAAUGAGCUCAGGUCCUUCUGACUCUAAAGCCCCACUGUGCUCAGCUCUGUUUACCUCCUUACCCAGCUUGCACUGAGCUCAGUCUCUUUGUUCUCCCUGCCAAGAGGAAGUGUUCUUCACUCUGCCGACACAAUAGGGCAUCCUUUUGAAUGAAGUCACUGUAAGAAUGUAAUGUUAGACUCCAGCUGCUGCUCAGGCCACAGCACAUGCGGCAGCUUUCCACUUUCACAGAUACAGACAGACACCCCACUGGGACAUUGUCUCCGGGACCCCCUAGCUAACAGGCUUCCAGGUGCAGGAUCUCUCACCUGGAGAAAGGAGAUGCCAUCAAAACUGCUACUGACAGUCACACAGGUCACAGGUCCUCCUCCCCAUCUGCACUGGAUUCAGAGAGCCUGGCUGCUGGCUGGCACUGGCAUGAAACCUACCCAUCCUCAGAAAGGUAUAAGAAGAGACUCUCACUUCUGCCAGGGAUGUUUGAAGUGCCUCUCACAUGUUCCUGGAGCUCCCUCACAUGUCCUGGAGAAGCUUAAUGGAGUCAAACUGCCCAAGCAGAAAGCUCACACAGGUGGCAGUUAGCUGGUAGGAUUUACCCUCUGAUACAAAUCAUUUUUUUUCUAAGGAAGAAAUGAUUUCAAAAUUUGGCAGUUGAAUUAAGAGGUUGAAAGGUAGAGAAAAAAUUCUAGCCCAUUAAAACUAGACAACACUUUGCAGAUAUCUGCUCCAAGCCUGCAUUUUUCCAGGGUGGAAACCAAGUCUCAGUUCUGAUGGUAUUUACGAAGUCACUGGCAAAGCAGAACUGGAAACACCAAGGGGGCCUGGACUAGCCUCUUGGUGACUUUGAGUGAUGCUGCAAGGAUUACGGGGCACCUGCUUUGUCUCUUUCAAGGGCCACCAUGGCACACACUGCUGUCAAGUUUGCAGAUACGAAGCUCUCCAGGAUGCUGUCUUAGCUGCUCACCAUCCUAGCUUUGUAAAGGCAGCCCUCAUUCGCCUGGCUUCCUGGACCCAGGGUUCAUGGACAUGUUCAAGGACAAACUAACAGCAAGCAGCCAUGGCAGGCCUUGGGACCCAGGCCAGCUGUCCUUUGUAAUGUUCUCUUAUGCUACCUCCGUCUCUGGGAGCAAAGAUGAAAAUACAGUGUUCUUUAGGAUAAACAGGCAGUGAUGGGCACAGAGAAAACAAGACAAAUGCGCAUUGGUUCUAGCCACUGACUCUCUGGAGGUCAUUUCUCAAGGCUGAGAUGUGCUGAGCAGUGGCUGUUUCUUCAGACUUUGAGAUUCAAUGUCUUAUGUCAGUGUAAACAUUUUAGAAUGUUCUCUAUGUUUCAGGAAAAAAAAACCUUAUGUACAAUAUCAGUGCAAUGAUUAAAAACCAAAACCAAACCUUAUGCCUUAACUAUAAGGAAAAAAUAAAAGGAAAGUAGUUAGAAACAAA